GCGGACGUGGUGAAAUUGGCAAACACGCUAGACUUAGGAUCUAGUGCUUCUGGCUUGGGGGUUCAAGUCCCUUCGUCCGCACCA
RNAcentral lists this transfer RNA (84 nucleotides) under Clostridia bacterium. RNAcentral's name for it is "tRNA-Leu". It matches the Rfam family "tRNA". Rfam says of the family: Transfer RNA (tRNA) molecules are approximately 80 nucleotides in length. Lineage: Bacteria; Bacillati; Bacillota; Clostridia. The record is from RNAcentral.